AUAUUAUUUGCGGAGCUCUUAAAACCUAUUUCUUUCUAUAAUUUUUCACAAAUUGCCUUGUUUAACACCAUAUAAGUGUAAAUAUAAAGCAGCACAUCUCAUUUUAGUUCUAAAUGAUUGGCUUUGUAUAUGGCUGUAAAGAUAUACCCUUGAACUGCAAGGUCAUUUUAUCAAAAGGAAACAUAAUUUAUUUUUGAUUUUCAAUGUACAGAAUUGAAAGGGUGACAGAGCUGUUUGUAUAUAACUUCAAGGUCUCCCCCA
This 261-nucleotide unclassified non-coding RNA is filed under the name Hevea brasiliensis (rubber tree). The record is from RNAcentral. Lineage: Eukaryota; Viridiplantae; Streptophyta; Magnoliopsida; Malpighiales; Euphorbiaceae.